UAUGGACUGGAAUAAAGAGACAGUUAUUUAAGUUUCACUCUUUGUUGGCAUCAAAUCCUAACAUUGUUAGUCCAUUAUUUUACGAUUUUACAAGAGCAUACCAUCUAAUGUAGCCAUCUUUCCAGCUUCAAACACUGGGUUCUCGAAAUCUCCGAGCCAAGCACGUGAAGCCCCGUUGGAGUAAGUCGGACUAAACGAAUAAAAUAACAAGCCGAUGUACACUGAAAAGCGAAAGCUAUGUAAGUUAAAAUAUUCAUCCCGUACGGAUUCCGUAUGGAUCUUGUGACAUUUUAUGGAUCAAUGGAAGAUAGCUGGAGUUUUAUGAUUUUUAUCAACACAUUUCUGUACUUACGUCAUGAUAUUUGGACUUCCUCUUUGUCUGUGAACAUAGUUAAGAUGAUCGAUAACUAACUGUCCAAUCACUUCAGGAUCUUGAUCAGGUACAAGGCGAAUUGAGAACUUUCCUAUCACCUUUAGAUAAAACAAUGUGAAAUGAAGACAAUUUAUGAAUAAACAUGUAAAACAAAGAAGAAGAAGAAGAAGAAGAAGAAGAACAACAACAACAACAACAACAGCAAAAAUCACAGUAACAACAACAACAACAACGACAACAUUACCUCAUAUGGAAUGACGGUUUUGUCACCAGGGCCAGAAAACGCACCUUCAAAUCCUACAACAAAACAAAAAGAUUGAUGAACACCAAAGACUUGGGCAUGAGCGUCAAUUGCGGCAAAGAAAGACUAAGUUGAUGAUGAUCUACUGACGAACUUAAGCUUCAAAAUCAAUGAGAAAAUGAAUCAAAAAACGAAUUCAUCCUUAAGUUCAACUUACUGAAUACAGUCAUUAAAACCAUACGAAACAAGGUCCAUAUGAUGCAUUUGAAAAAAAGUUCAGGAAACGUAAUAGAAAAGUGCAAAAAGUACUUAUGAAAACAAACUUCAAAUUAAUAAGAAUCCAGCGUAGACUUAUGUAUCACAUUAUGGAAGUUUUCCUUGUAUUAUUUGAUACUGCUACUGCUAAGAAAGUAUUUAAACUCCUAAGAUAUUUUUACAAACUCAUUGAACACAUCAACUCGUUUAAAUCGAAAUGUCACAAUGAUAUUAAUAGCCAAAAAAAACCCAAACAACACUACAUGAUUUGAAACGCUGCAUUGCAAAUAACCUUUACUUUAUGUAACCUAUACUUUACACUUCGCGAAGUUCUCGGCGUUAUGCAAUUAUUGAGUAGCAUGAUUGAAUGUUUAUAUUUACCAUGAAUGGAUAAGGAUGGAUAUCUCCAACGUC
Xenia sp. Carnegie-2017 is the source of this 1283-nucleotide long non-coding RNA. RefSeq lists it as uncharacterized. The record is from RefSeq and is a predicted model, not a curated record. The transcript is spliced from 2 exons. Lineage: Eukaryota; Metazoa; Cnidaria; Anthozoa; Malacalcyonacea; Xeniidae.